Molecule: long non-coding RNA, 1694 nt
Organism: Scylla paramamosain (green mud crab)
Lineage: Eukaryota; Metazoa; Arthropoda; Malacostraca; Decapoda; Portunidae
Exons: 4
Source: RefSeq, a predicted model, not a curated record
GGCCGAGCCGCCGAGGCCCACACCCAGGCGGUUAGACUUAGGAGGAUGCGCAAAAGCACCCUGCGUGUAAACCAACGCACGAACGCACGCAGUGUAACUUCAGCACGGACAGUAUCAAGUGCGCCGAUGUUAAGCAAGUGGGUAGUGUGACGCUAACCACAGAAGUUCCCAGCCGGCAGUAUCCCGCCAGUAAGGUGGUGUAUUACGUGUCCCUGCACAGAGUUAUGGAGCGCCGCACUGCACUAAGGUAUGCGGAAAGGAAGGCACGGAGGGAGAGAGGGAUAUACUGAGGCAAGAAAGGACGGAAGGAAGAGGGGAGGGAGAGAGGAGAGAAACGGUGGCAGCAGACUGAGUUAUUCGCACAAACGCUUAACAUUCAAAUAUUCACGCCUUACUCAAGCUAUUCAAAUUUGCGAGUCGUGUGAUGUUAUUCAGGGAAGGCGAACAGGAAGAGGAAGAGAGAUAAGAGCCUGGGCGAAAAAAAAGGAAGAAAAAAAAAAGAGAUUACCAGUAGCAGUGCGAGUUGUGCAAGGAUGAAAGUCGGACACGAAAAGGGAAGAGGGAUAAGAGAAGGGCUCGGUGAAAGAAGAUAUGAAGGAAUAUGAAGGAGAGAAAUGUUCGGAAAAAUAAAUAAAUAAAGUGGGAGAAAAGAAAUGAUUCGAUAAAAGGAAAUAUGAAGGAAAAGGGAGAAGAGAAAUGUUCAGAAAAAAUAAAGAAGAUGGAGAAAAAAAUGAUUCGACAAAAGAAAAGGUGAAGGAGGAAGGAGAAGAUUUUAAGUUCGAGAAAAGGAAAAUAAAGAAAAGAAUAAAAGAAAAAGAUGGAAGAAGAAGAUUAUGGUAAAAAAAAAAGGAGAAAUCAGUAUUAGUAGAAGUUCGGCAAAAAAAAAAUGAAAGGUGGGCAGUGGAAGAGAAUGAUUCGAAAAAAAAUAAAUAAAUAGAAUAAGGAGGAAGAAGAGAAUGAUUCUGAAAAAGAAAAAAAAAGGAAGAAGAUAAUGGUUCGGAAAAAGAAAAUAUGAAGGAAGAAGAGAAUAGUUAAAAAGAAAAUGAAGGAAGAUGAUGAAAAUUAUAAAAAAAGGAGAGGGAGAAGAUCAUAGAAAAAAAAGAAAAGACAAAAAAGUUGAUAGUAUGAAUAGAAGUUGAACCCCCCUAAAAAAAACGGUAUUAGUAGAAGUUGGCCACCCACCCUACACCCCAAAAAAAAAAAAAAAAAAAGAAAAAAAAACUGAACGGGAAAAGGAAGCUUGAGAGAGGACGGUUAUGGAAAAGCCAAGAAAAGUUAGGUGUUGUAGUUAUCUAAGAGUGCCUAGAGGAAUAUUAUAAGUCAGGGGAGCGUAGGACCGUGGUUGUAGGAAGACGAACAGUGGCAGUAGUGGUUAUGAAUGUAAGGAAGAAGGAAUAAGGAGAGAAGGAAAAAAGUUAUGAAAGUUCAGGAGUAGUAGUGGUAGUAGUGGUAGAAAUUAUUAUUGUUGUUGUUGUUGUUGUUGUUGUUGUUGUUGUUGUUGUUAUUGUUGUAGGAGUUAUAGCGCUUUUUAUGUUGUGGUGGCGAUAGUAGUAGUAGUAGUAGUAGUAGUAGUAAUAAUAGUAGUAGUAAUAGUAACAUGGAUUUACGUGUUGGAAAUCUAGUUUUGAGAAGGGAAAAAGAGAAAAAAAACUAUGAUAGUAAAUAAAAAGGAAAAUAAAGCAAUAAAUGGAGGA